ACAUACCAAAGAAGGCGAGCUUCUUAAGGCUUUCAGCCUCAGCAAUCUUCUGUUUCUCUUCCAUAAUUA
Molecule: non-coding RNA, 69 nt
Organism: Caenorhabditis elegans
Lineage: Eukaryota; Metazoa; Nematoda; Chromadorea; Rhabditida; Rhabditidae
Source: Ensembl